UACGAGGGGGACAAGCGUUGUUCGGAUUUAUUGGGCGUAAAGGGUGCGUAGGCGGUUUGGCAAGUCUUGUGUGAAAUCUUUGGGCUCAACCCAAAGCCUGCACGAGAAACUGCCGGGCUUGAGUAUGGGAGAGGUGAGUGGAAUUUCCGGUGUAGCGGUGAAAUGCGUAGAUAUCGGAAGGAACACCUGUGGCGAAAGCGGCUCACUGGACCAUAACUGACGCUGAGGCACGAAAGCUAGGGGAGCAAACAGG
RNAcentral lists this ribosomal RNA (253 nucleotides) under uncultured bacterium. Its description in RNAcentral is "partial 16S ribosomal RNA". It matches the Rfam family "Bacterial small subunit ribosomal RNA", at positions 524 to 776 of the family's 1533-position model. The record is from RNAcentral.